GACACGAGAUUCUGCCCUGGACCUGAAAUGGCCACCAGGCUCUUCUUCUGUGUGGUCCUUUGUCUCCUGUGGGCAGGACACAUGGAUGCCGGAAUCACCCAGAGCCCAAGAUACAAGGUCACAGGGACAGGAAAGGAGGUGACUCUGAGAUGUCUCCAGACUGAGAACCAUAGCUACAUGUACUGGUAUCGACAAGACCCGGGCCAUGGGCUGAGGCUGAUCUAUUACUCAGUUGGUACUAGUAUCAACAAAGGAGAUGUCCCCAACGGGUACAGUGUCUCCAGAUCAAACACAGAGAACUUCCUCCUCACGCUGGAGUCAGCUACCCUCUCCCAGACAUCUGUGUACUUCUGUGCCAGCAGUGACUCCACAGCGCUGCACAGCCCCCUCCUCUCUGCACAAAAAGGCAUGGGGAGACCCUGCACCCCAGACUCAGCGGAGCCUGUGCAGCCUCAACUCCCACCCUGGGAGCCUUGGAGCCCUGAGUGGCCUGUGCAUACAGGGUGAACCUCGGUGUGUGCCGAGGUCCAUCUUCAGGGCAGUGUCUGCCAGGCCUGCACUGGUUCCAGGGCCUCGGGCAGCCACGUCUCCACCGAUGCUGCCUGUCUGUCCUCUGCAGCUGCCAGUUAGCAGGGAAGGGGCUUCCCC
Molecule: non-coding RNA, 648 nt
Organism: Hipposideros armiger (great roundleaf bat)
Lineage: Eukaryota; Metazoa; Chordata; Mammalia; Chiroptera; Hipposideridae
Source: the annotation of a RefSeq genome assembly